CCUCGAGGGGAAUUGCCUCAGUUACGGCGAGUGAAGCGGCAAAAGCUCAAAUUUGAAAUCUAGCACUUUCAGUGUUCGAGUUGUAAUUUGAAGAAGGUAACUUUGGUUUUGGCUCUUGUCUAUGUUCCUUGGAACAGGACGUCACAGAGGGUGAGAAUCCCGUGCGAUGAGAUGCCCAAUUCCAUGUAAAGUGCUUUCGAAGAGUCGAGUUGUUUGGGAAUGCAGCUCUAAGUGGGUGGUAAAUUCCAUCUAAAGCUAAAUAUUGGCGAGAGACCGAUAGCGAACAAGUACAGUGAUGGAAAGAUGAAAAGAACUUUGAAAAGAGAGUGAAAAAGUACGUGAAAUUGUUGAAAGGGAAGGGCUUGAGAUCACACUUGGUGUUUUUCGUUCCCUUCCUUUUUGGUUGGGUUCCUCCCCGGUUACUGGGCGGGCCUCGGAUUGUAUGGUAGAGCCAAAACCAAAGUUACCUUCUUCAAUUUCCCCUCCAAAACUUAAAGUGUUUGAUUUUUAAUUUUAGCUUUUGCCGCUUCCCUCCCCGUUACUGAGGCGGUCCCCGUUGGGGUCUUUUCCCCCCCUUUUGGAGAUGCAAAAAAAAAAAAAAAAAACCAAAAAAGGAGAGUUCGAGGACGACGCCUCCGUUCGGUCCCCGUUGGACGCGUGCUCGUCGGUGCGGCU
This 675-nucleotide ribosomal RNA is filed under the name Dujonia zeylanoides. RNAcentral's name for it is "[Candida] zeylanoides partial large subunit ribosomal RNA". It matches the Rfam family "Eukaryotic large subunit ribosomal RNA", at positions 63 to 607 of the family's 3401-position model. Lineage: Eukaryota; Fungi; Ascomycota; Pichiomycetes; Serinales; Debaryomycetaceae. The record is from RNAcentral.